AACGAACGCUGGCGGCAUGCCUAACACAUGCAAGUCGAACGAGACCUUCGGGUCUAGUGGCGCACGGGUGCGUAACGCGUGGGAACCUGCCCUUAGGUUCGGAAUAACUCCCCGAAAGGGGUGCUAAUACCGGAUAAUGUCUUCGGACCAAAGAUUUAUCGCCUUUGGAUGGGCACGCGUUGGAUUAGCUAGUUGGUAGGGUAAAAGCCUACCAAGGCGACGAUCCAUAGCUGGUCUGAGAGGAUGAUCAGCCACACUGGGACUGGGACACGGCCCAGACUCCUACGGGAGGCAGCAGUGGGGAAUAUUGGACAAUGGGCGAAAGCCUGAUCCAGCAAUGCCGCGUGAGUGAUGAAGGCCUUAGGGUUGUAAAGCUCUUUUACCCGUGAUGAUAAUGACAGUACCGGGAGAAUAAGCUCCGGCUAACUCCGUG
This 433-nucleotide ribosomal RNA is filed under the name uncultured bacterium. RNAcentral describes it as "partial 16S ribosomal RNA". It matches the Rfam family "Bacterial small subunit ribosomal RNA", at positions 29 to 507 of the family's 1533-position model. The record is from RNAcentral.